Molecule: long non-coding RNA, 578 nt
Organism: Poecile atricapillus (Black-capped chickadee)
Lineage: Eukaryota; Metazoa; Chordata; Aves; Passeriformes; Paridae
Exons: 4
Source: RefSeq, a predicted model, not a curated record
GUUUUUGGUGGUCACCAUGAUGUUCUUGGUGGUCCCCAAGCCCACAAUGAUGUUUUUGGUGCCCACAAUGAUGGUUUUGGUGUCCUCAAGCCCCAUGAAUGAUGGUUUUGGUGGUCACCAUGGUGUUUUUGGUGGCCACCAUGGUGUUUUUGGUGGUCCCCAAGCCCCCCGAGGUCAGUUGAGGGUGCCGCGGCAGCUCUCGGUGCGACACAGGCAGGGGAUCUUGGUGUCCCCAAAGCCCACCAUGAUGUUCUUGGUGCCCACCAUGAUGUUUUUGAUGGCCACCAUGAUGUUCUUGGUGGUUCCCAAGCCCACAAUGAUGUUUUUGGUGGUCACCAAACCCCAUGAUGAUGUUUUUGGUGGUCACCAAGCCCCACCAUGAUGUUCUUGGUGGUCCCCAAACCCCACCAUGAUGUCCUCAAACCCCACCAUGAUGUUCUUGGUGCCCACAAUGAUGUUCUUGGUGGUCACCAAACCCCACCAUGAUGUUCUUGGUGGUCACCAAAGCCCACCAUGAUGUUUUUGGUGGUCACCAUGAUGUUCUUGGUGGUCACCAAAGCCCACCAUGAUGUUCUUGG